CCCUUAGAUGUUCUGGGCCGCACGCGUGCUACACUGAACGGUUCAAUGGGUAAGGUAGUGCGAAAGCAUGACCUAAUCUCGAAAUCCGUUCGUGCUGGGGAUAGAAGCUUGCAAUUAUCCUUCUUGAACGAGGAAUACCUUGUAAGCGUGAGUCAUCAUCUCACGCUGAAUACGUCCCUGCCCUUUGUACACACCGCCCGUCGCUCCUACCGAUUGAGUGGUCCGGUGAGGCCUUGGGAGGGCUAAGUGGGCUGUGUUUCACAGACUACCUGGCCCGAACCUGGUCAAACCUUAUCACUUAGAGGAAGGAGAAGUCGUAACA
This 322-nucleotide ribosomal RNA is filed under the name uncultured eukaryote. RNAcentral's name for it is "partial 18S ribosomal RNA". It matches the Rfam family "Eukaryotic small subunit ribosomal RNA", at positions 1470 to 1796 of the family's 1831-position model. The record is from RNAcentral.